RNAcentral lists this ribosomal RNA (412 nucleotides) under uncultured bacterium. Its description in RNAcentral is "bacterial SSU rRNA". It matches the Rfam family "Bacterial small subunit ribosomal RNA", at positions 505 to 916 of the family's 1533-position model. The record is from RNAcentral.
GUGUCAGCAGCCGCGGUAAUACGUAGGUGGCAAGCGUUAUCCGGAUUUACUGGGUGUAAAGGGCGUGUAGGCGGGAAAGCAAGUCAGAUGUGAAAACUGUGGGCUCAACCCAUAGCUUGCAUUUGAAACUGUUUUUCUUGAGUACUGGAGAGGCAGAUGGAAUUCCUAGUGUAGCGGUGAAAUGCGUAGAUAUUAGGAGGAACACCAGUGGCGAAGGCGAUCUGCUGGACAGCAACUGACGCUGAGGCGCGAAAGCGUGGGGAGCAAACAGGAUUAGAUACCCUGGUAGUCCACGCUGUAAACGAUGGAUACUAGGUGUGGGGGGUCUGACCCCCUCCGUGCCGCAGUUAACACAAUAAGUAUCCCACCUGGGGAGUACGAUCGCAAGGUUGAAACUUAAAUGAAUUGACGG